Wasmannia auropunctata (little fire ant) is the source of this 4009-nucleotide long non-coding RNA. RefSeq lists it as uncharacterized. The transcript has 2 exons. The record is from RefSeq and is a predicted model, not a curated record. NCBI's taxonomy places the organism in Eukaryota, Metazoa, Arthropoda, Insecta, Hymenoptera, Formicidae.
CUCUCGUCGUCAUCCGGCGCGAAAGCGGAUGUCCGAUGGCAUCGCUCUAUAGUAGCGACCUUUAAUUACAACAGACGAGGGGAUCCCACUUUGGAUCAACUGUUCGGAAAAAAGUAUCCGGACGCGCUGGAAAUAUUGAACCAUGUUAAUUCCUUUUCAGAACAAUUCAUAUAUUUUAAUCCGUUCUAUUCUCGUACGUGCGGGGACGUGCCCGUCCUUUGUCCUACAUCCUAUUUUCAUCCCGAGAACCCUCUCCUCCGUCUCGCAGAGCGGUACCACCUGAGGAGCCAUCAUUUCUACGUAGUCACGUCUUUUUAUCGGUCCGCUAUUAUUACCGCUAAUUAUCUCUUCCUUCCUCGCGAACUCGCUGCACUCGGACGCGGGAGUGUCUCCUCGCUCGCGUCGGCCGCAGCCUCUCAGGGUCGUCUACUUUCCGGUCCUGGUGGAAACCGACCGACGUCGGCUCGUCUCGACGAUUCUCGAUCUCCGAGCGGAUCCUCGGAGAUGCCCGCACACGUGUCUCGCCGAUCGUUUCCUCCGCCGCCGGGGCGGAGCGAAGCGCGUUCACGUAUACAGGGUGUCCCGCAGGCGUCUGGCCGAUUCGAAGCCGAAUGGUUUCUGUCAACGGAAACGCCGACGGCAUCAUACACGCGAGCGUACCGCAUGUGACAUCACCGGACGGACGUCGUGUGUCGGAAGAGGCGACCUUUCCGCGCGAGGCGUCGCGCAAUGCAACGGACGCGAUAACAACGUCGACGUGUGCGUGUGUAAAGAGCAGUAGGGCGUUACGCAAACGCGAGUCUCUUACCUGCUGAGAGCUGAUGAGAGAGAGAGAGAGAGGCGCACGUGCACGCGUGUCGAGUCUCGACGCCAUUGAGAAGAACGCGCGCCGGGACGUACGGAGCUGAAUGCGCAGCGAUGAAAGAACAAAAAGGAACCUGGUCAAAGACCAGAGGGCCACCCUGGGUAAAUUUUCGUGAGGAUCCGGGAAUGACUGAGGAAUACAAACAUUAUUACUGUUUGAUCGUUCUGAUAUAAAUAUGAAAUAUUCAACCAUGCAUUAUUUAUAACUAGCGAUGUACAAAAUAUAUAUAUAGUCAAAUAUAUCGAAAACAGAUUUUGCAAAAUGUCGAAUCUGCUAUAGACUUUCCGCAGACGGCGGAAAGCCAACAGAAAUAUAAUAAAAAUCUGUUAACAGAGUAGAAUAUGAUAACAGAUUUAAUUGCAGAAAUUCAACAAAAUAUAUUUUCGUAAUCAUUUAAAUGAUAGGAUUUCAUUCUAAAUAAACAUACCGGCAUGUGCAUGCUACCACCAUGCAGUUGUCAACCAUCAUGCAAACACUAUAAUAUCUUGUUACUGAUCAUAUCAGCAGGCUAUGCUGAACAUGAGCUUAAUGAGAACGCAUGCUAAUCUAUUGCGCAAUAUUCUGCUCGAAUCUGCUAACGAACUGCAGUCAGCGUCCUGUACCAUUUCAUCACAUUUCAUCAUGAUGCUCGUCGCUCAGUUUUAGCGUCAAAACAGUUCAACACUCAUCGAUUUUGAUCUGUUGUUGACACUAAAAUGAGCGUUGAGCACAUAUAUAGAUAUUUAUCUAGUUAAAUUUCUAUGGUUGAGCGUCAGCAUGAAAAGGAUAUACAUACCAAUUUUUGCUCAACGGGAAUCAACGCGAAAGUGGUCAGGUUAGUAGGUAUACGAAUGUUUAAGAGUCCCGAGGGUCCCGAGAACUGAAUACGCACAAUCGAACGGUACGUUGAUGGAAUCAUCGUUUGUCAGAUCCUUAAAUCUAUAAUGGAAAGAAUAUUUGUCUUGCAUUUCUACAAUCGGAGAGUAUUCCUCGGGAAUAAAUUUGAGCGAGUUAUAAUUACGUGUAUAAUGUAUAAUGGUGUGAAGCAGUAAACUAGCAAAAACAGAAUUUUCCUGAUGAUCCGAAAUCGAAAGUAAUAAAUAGCGUCGCUAAUCGAUGUUUUACAUAUAUUUAGAAACAAAUUCCAUCCAUUUUAUUCGCCUGCAUCAUUUGCCAUACUCCCCCCGUAAAAUCUUUCUGCUAACUGAAGAGAAAUCUGUACUGCUGGUUCUGCAUUAUAUGAUGGCAGAUAAAAUCGGUGGGUAAAAACGGAACGUAUCGCAACGUCGAUAAAGUAACUCGCCGAAGGUACCGACGCGCGUUUCGCUUAUCGUCCGAUGGUACAUGUAAGUCGAAUGUAUGUAGCGGGUGUAUCUGCAUAUUCAAUCAUUGUUGAUGCGUCUACUGUUACGUAAGACGAGAACUCGGACUCUCGCAUAAUGCAUGUGAAUAAUUUAUAAAAGGUUUCGAAAGGUCGACGAAUUCUCCACGAUCUACUGAGUUAUAAUCAAUAUGUAUAUGCGGACAGACCUUUGUCUUGCCAAGUUUUAUACCGCGGAUGAAUUCACGUUAAAAAAUAAAAGUCACUGUUGAAAUAUUUAUUUGUUUUUUUUUGUUAUAUUUCCACAUAUUUAAUUGACUUGACUUUUGCCGAUAAUCUGGCUGACUCAGAAGACUUUAUCUGCUCCCCAAAGAAUUAGGAAGUCUAUUCCUAUCUCAGAUUAAAUUAAUAAAAUCAAUGAAAUUAAGGAAUUAAUUCACCUAUAGAAAAAUAGAAAUUCAAAUCAAUAGACGGUAAUUCUUUAUACGACGCACUUCUGUCGACUCUAUAAAAAUUGAAUUUUUCAUACAUUUCAAUCACUUUUAUUUAUUCUACUUGUUGGAAAUUAUUCUUAGGACAAAACUCCGAUAAACUUAAUCGGUGGUUAAUUCAAUUGGUAAAAUAACUUGUGAAAAAUUUCCAAUUAUAUAUAAUUCAUCGUGUCUAAUCUUAUUUUUUUCAAAUGGCAAGGAACUGAUAAAUGCAUGUAUAAUAUGCACGAUAAGAAAUUAAACUAAAAGUCUAAAAAUAUCUUUCAUUUCGACAGAUUCGAAUAGAUCGACGUAUCGAUUUGUAUGAGAAACCAUUUCGUUAUCUGGCGUUCUUUCUCACUUGCUGAUAACGAGAAAGACUAGAUUCGAUGUAAAUGUCUCGCUGCCUGUAACUUCAUAAAUUAUGCAAAUGUAGAUAAUUAAUGUUUUCCAAUUAUUUAAAGAUAAUUAUGUUUUCCAUAGUUUUUGCUCGGAUUGCAGCAAAAUGAACAUUUCUAUCUUGACGUUAGUAUAACAUUCGUUCAUACCACUUGGACGAAAUUAAGUAAUCACGAGAGUUGAUAACUGAUAGCAAACGUUACUGAUUACGAAGUUGUUAUUCGCCACGCGUUAGAUCGCGCAAUGCAAUUUUUUUGUAAAGAUUUUAAAAAUGUGAGGCUAUAUUGUUGAUAUCAGAUACAGUAUUUGUACGCAAAAUAUACCUUGGGGAUUAGAUCGCGUAAUGUUAAGAAAAUAUAAAGAUAAAAAAAAAAGAAAUUCCCACACUCUUAGAUAAAAAGUAUUUUUUUUAAUUUCCGAAAGAUUUAAUUUCAUCCAAUCAUGUUUCUUUAAUGCAUGCAGAAUGAUUCAAAGUUAUUUUGAUGUUAGGCUUAAUUGUAAAUGUUAAAUUUUAUGAUUAAAAAAUCUUUUGAUUAAAAAAAAUUUAUUUAAAAAUUUAUACAGUUGUUUGACUGUAUGAAUAUGAAUCGAUUUAUCUGAUCAAUCUGUUAAAUUUGUCUGCUCCAUUAUUUCAUUCGGAAAACGACGUAUAAAUUUUAAAAUUUUGAAAUGCUACUACCAUCGAUGAUAACUUUGUACCAUCGAUUAUUUUGUCGAGUUGAAUAAUUGGCCCGAUCAUUAGCCAAUAUCAUUAUCUUGCCUUUUAUAUCUUUUACAUAGUCAUCGAGAAAAAUAUGAGGCAAUCGGCACAUUUGCGAAACGAAUGGUCCGAUUAAUGUUUUUAAGAUAAAUCAAACGGUCACGAUGGCGUGAAACCGAGGAAGUGACGUAACUGUAGCGACAAUCUUAUAUGCAUGUAAUUGAAUAUAAUAUAUGCUCAACGAAGCCUAGUUUUUUCCCGUAACCAUGUAAAUA